Non-coding RNA from Peromyscus californicus insignis, 1094 nucleotides. The record is from the annotation of a RefSeq genome assembly. Lineage: Eukaryota; Metazoa; Chordata; Mammalia; Rodentia; Cricetidae.
AUGGGUUCCAGGUUCCUAAGCUGUGUGGCCUUCUGCCUCUUGGGAGUAGGUCCCCUGGAGACGGCUGUUUUCCAGACUCCAAAACAUCUUGUCACACAGGUGGGAAAUAAAGCAUUUCUCGAGUGUGAACAAAAGCUGGGCCAUGAUGCUAUGUACUGGUACAAGCAAGACUCUAAGCAAUUGCUGAAGAUUAUGUUUAUCUACAAUAAUAAGCAACUCAUUUUAAAUGAAUCAGUUCCAAGUCGCUUCUCACCUCAGUCUCCAGAUAAAGCUCUUUUGAAUCUUCAUGUCAAGUCUUUAGAACUGGAUGACACUGCUGUGUACUUUUGUGCCAGCAGCUAUGGAAACACGGUCUAUUUUGGAGAAGGAAGCCGGCUCACUGUUGUAGAGGACCUGAGCAAGGUGAGCCCACCCAAGGUCACCUUGUUUGAGCCAUCAGAAGCAGAGAUCAUCGACAAACAAAUGGCUACCCUCGUGUGCCUGGCCAGGGGCUUCUACCCUGACCAUGUGGAACUGAGCUGGUGGGUGAAUGGGAAGGAGCUCCGCAGUGGAGUCAGCACAGACCCUCAGCCCUCCAAGGAGACCAAUAACAUCACCUACUGCCUGAGCAGCCGCCUGAGGGUCUCUGCAACCUUCUGGCACAAUCCUCGCAACCACUUCCGCUGCCAAGUCCAGUUCUAUGGGCUUACAGCUGAAGAUGAGUGGGACAAGCCCUCGCCCAAGCCUGUCACCCAGAACGUCAGUGCAGAGGCAAGGGGCCGUGCAGAUUGUGGCAUAACCUCAGCAUCCUACCAACAAGGGGUCCUGUCGGCCACCGUCCUUUAUGAGAUCCUGCUGGGGAAAGCCACCCUGUAUGCAGUGCUUGUCAGUACCCUAGUGCUGAUGGCCAUGGUUAAAAGAAAGCAUUCCUGAGGCCAGACCUGGAGGCAGAGCCCAGAGCUUCCAACCCAUUAUGCGAACUCGGAUUCUCUUUUUCCAGUACUUCUGAAGAGCUGUUCUCACUUGUCUGUGCAUCCUAAAGUCUGCCUUCUGGUCAUGCAUGCUUACACAUGUUCAUCUGAAAUCCCUGUGACCUGGAGAAUGCCUAGCUCACU